Molecule: long non-coding RNA, 27655 nt
Filed under: Fragaria vesca (wild strawberry)
Lineage: Eukaryota; Viridiplantae; Streptophyta; Magnoliopsida; Rosales; Rosaceae
Description: long non-coding RNA (FVES_LNC005393)
Source: RNAcentral
UUUCGGUGCCGAUAGUUGCGGUCAAUGCAAUUUUUCAUUCUUUCUCUCAAUGAGUAGCCCUAUCUUCGGUGGUUAUUUUGCGUAAAAUUUUUAUACAACUUGUUGCGUCUCAUCGGUUUGAAACUAUUUUCAGUUGAAGGUCCGGCCAAAAUACGUAAUUUAGACGGUCCAAUGACCUUUUCCGUGCGUUUAGGGGUUUGACUUAACGGAUUGACCGUCCAGAUCGAGCCCUUAACCUUGUCGGAUCAAGUUGAAUUUUUUUCCAUACAUGUAUUUUGUCAUGGUGGUCAGAUCUGACGGUCGGAUUUCCGUUUCUCAAGUUUGAUCAUCACAAUCACAACAUGCCUACUAAUGUUGUAUAACUAGUUUACCAAGUAAAUGUUCCGUUUCAAAAACAAACUAUACGUAAAACCUUCAAACGCAAAAAUGUCGUGAAAUAAGAUAUGACCGGAAUGGUGAAAUACGUCCACGGUUGAAAAAUCACAGUAUUCCGGUAAAGUUUCGGUGCCGAUAGUUGCGGUCAAUGCAAUUUUUCAUUUUUUCUCCCUAUGAGUAGCCCUAUCUUCGGUGGUUAUUUUGCGUAAAAUUUUUAUACGACUUGUUGCGUCUCAUCGGUUUGAAACUAUUUUCAGUUGAAGGUCCGGCCAAAAUACAUAAUUUAGACGGUCCAAUGACCUUUUCCGUGCGUUUAGGGGUUUGACUUAACGGAUUGACCGUUCGGAUCGAGCCCUUAACCUUGUCGGAUCAAGUUGAAUUUUUUCCCAUACAUGUAUUUUAUCAUGAUGGUCAGAUCUGACGGUCGGAUUUUCGUUUCUCAAGUUUGAUCAUCACAAUCACAAUUUGCCGAAUGUAUAAAAAGUACUAUAGCCGACGAAGUUCAACGGUUUAGCCGACGAAUUUCAAAGAUUUAGCCGACGAAUUUCAAAGGUUUAGCCGACAAAUUUGAUCUUAGCCGACGAGAUUAUUAUCUUUAGCCAACGAAAUAAUAAUUUCAUUGGCUAAGGUUGUCGGGUAUAGAGGCGAACACCCAGCGGUCGACAGCAGAAAAACCCUAGCUCCUUUUCCUCCUCCUCCGCCUCCUCUCCCUCUCCCGGUCGCCCUCUCCCUCUCCCGGUCUGCCUCCUCCGCCUCCUCUCCCUCUCCCGGUCUCCGCCUCCUCUCUCUCCCUCUCCCGGUCUCUGCCUCCUCUCCCUCUCCCUCUCCCGGUCGCCGCCCUCUCCCUCUCCCUCUCCCUCUCCCGGUCGCCGCCCUCUCCCGGUCGCCCUCUACUGGUCGCCUGCUCCGGCCCUCCCUCCCCCUUCUGCUGCUCCGGUCCUCCCUCCUCCUCCUGCUGCUCCAGCCUUGAGCCCUUCCUCCUCCUCAAGUACAUUUAUGUUUCACAUUUCAUUUUGUGUUUGCUUUGAUUUUCCGGUCAAUUGCAAUGUUGUGGUGUUGUUAGGAAGUGUAUAUUUGUAUUUAGGAAGUGUAUAUUUGUAUUUAGUAUUUAAGAAGUGUAUAUUUUUAUCAGGCCCGCUCACCUGCGGGACAAGUUUUACGGGACCAAAAGGGAUGAACUGUUCCCAGCCGUCAAAUCUUAAGUAAAACGAUCUGAUGGACACAGAUGCUCAUACAUCAAAACACAAUACUUAGACCCAUGUACCCGAUUUUGUCUCUACUGCCAAAGACUGCGAGUCUCUCUCCUCUGACAUCUUUUUCCUCCCUAAAACCUCUCUCCCUCAGUUUGGAGGGGAAGAUCUUGAUGCAAUUGCAACCUUAUACACUGGGUUGAUUGGCCAGAAGAAUCGAUGAAUUCCAAGAGGCAAUAACUUGAGAGAUUUUCUUUAACCUGCAGCUAAUCUCGUCUGUCUCUCUCUCACAAAGACUCCACUCAAUGAAGAUUGGGAUCUAGAGGGGGGUGUCCUCCAUUUUCGUCAAUUGAUUGUAUCUAGUGUUCGGGGCCUCGGAGGUGGGUUUUCUCUGUUUGGGACAUACAUAUUUGAAUCUUGAAGGAGAUAGAUGGGUUGGUUUCAAUUGGGAAAAAAUGAGGUUUGAAGCUGGUGAUUCUUCAAUUCGGGAAAUUUGAGGGAGAUGGGUUGGAUUGAUUUGUUUUGGAAAUCAAUUGGAUUAAUAAUUUCAUAGCAUAGUACUACUGCAGCAAAUGGGUUUACAUUUGUUUUUUUUUUUUUUAUUGAAUUGACUGGCUAGGUUGGAAAACAUACCCAAGAUCAUCACUUUCAGGAAUGCAAGACUUGGAAAAUAAAUUCAACCCAGGCCAAAAGAAACAAAACCCAGAAUUCCAGAAACUAAUCCUGGAAUCUUUGAGAAGAGAGAAAGAGACAACAGUGACUGGAUCUGCUGUCGGGUAAAGUAAUCCGGAUUUUAUUGGUUUGCACAUCUGUGUCCAUCAGAUCGUUUCACUUAAAUCUGACGGCCGGGAAGAGUUCAUCCCUUUUGGUCCCGUAAAUUUUGUCUCGUAGGUGAGCGGGCCUGAUAUUUUUAUUUAGUAUUUUAUGUUUGCUUUGAUUUUCCGGUCAAUUGCAAUGUUGUGGUGUUGUUAGGAAGUGUAUAUUUUUAUUUAGGAAGUGUAUAUUUGUAUUUAGUAUUUUUAGGAAAUGUAUAUUUUUAUUUAGUAUUUAGGAAGUGUAUAUUUGUAUUUAAGAAGUGUAAAUUUGUAUUUAGGAAGUGUAUAUAUUUUUUUUUGACUAAUUGAAUGGGUUUACAUUAUUUGAUUUUGUGGUGUUGUUACGAAUAUGAAAAUAAGCAUGAAAUUAAUAUUUUAAACAAGAUGAGCGGUAAUAUUAGAUCGACGAAGGGUUCGAAGGGCCAAAGGUCCAAAUUGUCUGAGGGAACCUCUAGCAACCCUCAAACGUUGUUUCAGGGCCCCAUGACAGCCAGACGUGCGAGCCUUCUGCAGACAUCACAGAGGCAGCCGGAGGUGCACCCUUCAUCGAGGCAGCGGGGCGUCCCUCAUUCCUCGAGGCAGUUGUGGCCUCAGACCCAGACGGAGGUGUUUGCACCCCGUAUGCCUGAGAUACACCGGGCGCCCACUCCAGGUCCUACUUCUUCGGAUAGUGGGUCAUCUGGGGUACAGAUGCCGCCGCCUCAUCUGUUCCUUCCGCGGAUGAUACCGGCCUUACCUGCAGUCGAUGGUUCAGGGACGCCGAUUUAUCCACUGCCCCCGCCAGUGGCUCUAUCAGCGGCGUACCGGUUCGUGCCUUUUGAUACGCCUCUUAUUUCCGCGAGGGUAUCAUCAUCGGCGACAGAGACGCAAUCCGUCGCGUCCGCCGCAUCGCCCUCAGGUAAUGAAAGAUGAAUUAUCUGUUUUCUUAUAAUUCUCCAAUUUUAAUAAUCAAUUUGGUUUAUUAUGUGAUAGGCACCGUCGGAGCGAAGCCGGCAAAGAAGAAGAGAGGCCCCGUCACAAGGAAGGCUCUCGAGAAGAUCGUCGGUACCUCAGGGAGGAUCGUCAUCCAUAUUGACGGGGAUGGCGACAUAGUAUCGGGCGGGAAGUCGAGGACGUACUCCGGCCGCAUGGGAGUGCUCAUUAGGGAUACAGUCCCUAUGUUGUGGUCAGACUGGGGCGAGGUCCCGCAGGAGGUUAAGGACAUGGUCCACAACGCGAUGUCGGUGAGUUUACAAAAUGCCUCAAUAAUAUUAUGUAUUACAUUGUUGAUUUCUCGAAAAACUAAACUAAUAAACGGUUAAAUGCAGGUGUGGUUUGAGGUUCCCGAGUACCUAAAGAGCAGCUGGGCCGACGUUGUGCAUGGGGGAAGGUACGUUGGGAAGUUAAUGAAAAAACAAAAUUGUAUGUGAUAUUAAUAAUAUUUCUAAUAUUUUUUUGUAUCUGUAGGUACAAGGAGUGGAAGAACGAGUUGCGGACCCACUGGACUACGCACGGGAACACACAUUCUGGUACCCCUGUUGAGUUCCAGUACAGGGAGUACGAGUGGCGUUGGCUUCUGACAUCAGAAUUCAACAACCCUCGUAAACAGAUAUUUAAAAAAAUUAAUUAGUUAAUUUGUCAUUAAGUACGUGCGUUUUUAAAUAUUUUACUAAUAGUUUAUUUUUUUCUUUGAAGGCCGUUUCCCGGGUGAACGCUCAGAACCGGCAACGCAACACAAGGAACCAUCGUGCCGGUUCUAGACCGUUCGCUGUCUUCAUGGGCGAGGCGGCCAGGGAACAUCCAGAAGUCAACCAGUACGUCUAUACGUACGGGAAGGCAUAUCCUGACGCUCAGGAGGAUAUUGUAAGUUAUCUUCCGUUUUUAAAUUUUUAAUUUUACUUAUAUAUAUAUGUCAAAAUGUUAAUUAAUAAUUUUUUUCCUAUCCAAUUAGGUGAAAGUGAGGGAGGCUAGUGACUAGGUGAUGAGUGCUAUAGUGAGAGAGACAUGGCCGGACACGCAGGAGGAAGAGAUGUCCGAAGCCAUGUCCCGGAUCGACACUUCGGAUCCGACGGUUAGGGCUAGGAUCAUAGGCACAGCCUUCCCACCGCGAGCAAACAACUACUACUGCCGGGGUCUAGGAAAGAAGGGCGAGGGGGUCCUGAAGACCACUCCAGGAUUUCAACGAAAGGCAGCCUCGACCAGCAGCAGGACCACGACCACGACCACGACCACGACCACCAGGAUGACUUAGCUAGAGUCGGAACUUCAGAGACUACGGGAACAGCAAGUUGCUCAGACUGCCUAUAAUGCCUCGCAGGUAGCCUAUAAUGCCUCGCAGGCAGCCUAUAAUGCCGCGCAGGCAGCCUAUGUUGUCGAGAUACAUGCCAUCCAGCAGGCCUAGCAGCAGCAGAUGUUCCAGUACAUGCAGGACUUUACAGCUGCCCAGCUUCAAGGACUUCCGGCUCCACCCAUGCCUACGGCUAUACCGCUACCUCAGUCGCCGCAACCUCCGCAGCAGCCUCCAGAAGCGGAUAUUAAUUUAGACGAUCUAGAUUUUGUGUANNNNNNNNNNNNNNNNNNNNNNNNNNNNNNNNNNNNNNNNNNNNNNNNNNNNNNNNNNNNNNNNNNNNNNNNNNNNNNNNNNNNNNNNNNNNNNNNNNNNNNNNNNNNNNNNNNNNNNNNNNNNNNNNNNNNNNNNNNNNNNNNNNNNNNNNNNNNNNNNNNNNNNNNNNNNNNNNNNNNNNNNNNNNNNNNNNNNNNNNNNNNNNNNNNNNNNNNNNNNNNNNNNNNNNNNNNNNNNNNNNNNNNNNNNNNNNNNNNNNNNNNNNNNNNNNNNNNNNNNNNNNNNNNNNNNNNGUCGGCUAAAGUCUGAGAAAAAACCGAACGACAUGUUUUUCGUCGGCUAAACUCUUGGACUAUAGCUGACGAAUAUCUUAAAUUUUUCGUCGGCUAAAGUCUGGGAAAAAAACCGUCGACAUGUUUUUCGUCGGCUAAACUCUGGGACUAUAGCAGACGACGUCUUCUAGUUUCGUCGGCUAAAGUCAUCGCCGACGACCUUUUCCCGACGAAAUUUUAGCCGACGAUGAAUCGUCGGCUAAGAUCUUAGCCGACGAAUUAAGCUAACAGGUUGACGAAACUUUUUCGUCGGCUAAAGUGCUUGUCCUGAUAGUGAAAUGAGUAGGGGAAGACUUGGGAUAUAAGGCAAAGCUUCUUCAGUUGUUCUAAGAACUACUAUUACAUGUAGGGCAUGGCUGCAGACAAGCUAGGGGGUGACGAGAAUGGUCACCUUGCAUGUUAAGUGUAGCUAACAAAUGGGGCAAAACCCGAUCCUGCUCAAAAUCUGAUUGAAGUUAAUUUGUUUAUAUAUCAAAAUCCGUUUCUUUUGUAUUUUAGCUUUUGGGGAGAAAAUUGACACAGUGACCCUCAUGGACAUGCAUUAUAUUAACGUUCAAUUAUGUCUAGCCAGACGGUUUACAUUUGUAUAGUAAUAGACAUGAAAUUUAUUUGGCAAUGUGAUUAUCGAAUUGCCAUUUAUUUAAAUUUUAUUUGUGUAAGGAAAAAUGACAACUUAUAAAUGGUUGUAGUGUCGAACAAAACUUUGAAAUGGUUGUUUCUGCGCGCAGUUGGCGUCUUGCAUGGACACCAUGUGUAGGCUAGCUAAAGCUAGGGCUUGUAUAAGUUUGUUGGUUUCAGCUGGUCGAUCAUCAAAUGCAUGUCGAUCUCUGUACUUGCAUAAUAAUUCUUAAAGUCUGACACGCACCACGCAUGCAUAUCAAUUCAACAUUAUGAGGAAGACGCAACUAAUGAAAUGUAACCAGCUAGUUCGAUUCAAAACUUCAGAGGAAUAUGUAUAGCUGUAUCCUAGGAAUGACCACAAGUACCUCAAGAGAUUUCAAGCUUAUUACAACUAAAUUGAGAAUAUAUAUGAAUAUCAUAGCUCAUAUAAAUUGCCAAGUAUCAUAUGGAAAGCUUAAUGUGAUAAGAUUACAUAUAACUCAGAGGAAACAUAUAUCAUAUUUUCCCUUUAUUAUUUAGGACGAUCGAUGCAUGUAGCAUAGCUAGCCGAAGAACAUUCGAAAAGUAGGUAUUGAAUUACAUGCUUUUAUUGGUACAAGUCUGUCUCAUCGUAUUCACUUUCAUGAGCUCUAUUUCUUCGAUUAUCCAACACCACCGCCACCGCCACCGCCACCGCCACCGCCACCGCCUCCGCCUCCUCCACCACCUCCACCACCUCCGCCUCCACCUCCUCCAUUGCUUCCGAAGCCAUAACCUCCACCAUAUCCACCUGACCCCCACCGCCGCCGCCUCCUCCUCCACCGCCCCCUUCAUCAUCCCCACCACCGUAUCCACCUCCACCACCAAUAUUGCUAUUUCUUCCCGAGACUCCCUUACGACUACUCCCUUGAUCUCCACAGCCACAGCAAGCAUUAGCUGCACCGGUAUCACACUUGUUCUCAUAUUGAAGCGGUCUAUUUCCAAUCUCAACUGAUCUAAAGGAUGUUUCGUGGCUACCAAUCGUGGAGGACAACAUUGAUAACAGAGGUACUAGUAGGAGAAGCACAGUACUAAACACGAAAGAGAGUCUCUUCAUGUUUGUGAGAUUUGAUCUAUAAAACAAAACUAAUACAAUUUUUGUUGGUUUUACGAUGAAAUACUUCAUGCUCGAUCAUAUAUAUGCUCAUUUAGCCGAGGCAGGAGAAGAUAUACAUGCAAAUGCAUGUGAAUGAAUAAUCUAGCUAGCUGUAAUAUUUAAGGUCUCGAUGAGUGUAUGUAACUCUCGUGAGCAGACCAUCUGGUGAUUCCCCCUUAGCGCUAGCUGAUCCAGACUUCAUCGUAAUUGGUUCUGUUUUAUCAAGGUCCGUGAAUCUGAUGACCAGAAAAGUUCUGAUAAAUCGUUACCCGUCUGAAGCAUUAUUAUUGUGUAUCCUUGAUAUCCUGCAUAUAUACAGAAUAUUAAUCCAGCCAAGCUAGCUGCUGAUCCGAUUGGUUCAUGGUGCUCCCCAAGACUUGUAUACAUGCAUUCUCUGUAUACGAAUUAUUUUUUCGUCGGCUAACGUGGGCUUUAGCUGACGAAAUUUUAAAUUUUCGUUCGUCGGCUAAUUUAAAUUUUCGUCGGCUUUGGUCAACUUUAGACGAUGAAAUUAAAAUUUCAUCGUCUAAAUAAUUUUUUUCGUCGGCUAUAGUCUGUGAACAAAAUUUUUAAAAGUUUAGCCGACGAAAAAUAUAAUUUCUUCGGCUAAAGUGUCUUAAUUUUGUCGGCUAAAGUGCCUUAUAUUUGCAGAUCUGGACAACAACUCAUCUGGGAAAAAAAAACUAUACGUAGAACCUUCAAACGCAAAAAAGUCGUGAAAUAAGAUAUGACCAGAAUGGUGAAAUAUGUCUACGGUUAAAAAAUCAUAGUAUUCCGGUAAAGACUCGGUGCCGAUAGUUGCGGUCAAUGCAAUUUACCCUUAUUAUUCACUAUGCUGCUGAUUUGACGUUUGGUGUCCAAUUAACUAUCGUGAUACCUUUCCGAAAGCGUAACGGCCCUACAAGUCAAACUCAUGGCUAAUGCCAUGACAUAUGAGCCUUUUUGGUCAUCCGAGUCCGUUUAGGGCUUCAAAAUGCAGUUUUCUUAUUUCCGAUUGACCGUUUCGAUCGAGCCCUUAACGUUGUCGAAUCCAGUUGAAUUUUUUACCAUAGAUAUCUUUCGUUAUAAUGAUCAUAUCUGAGUGUCGAAUUUUGGUUUGUGAAUUUUAGUCAUCGGAAUCACAACGUGUCUACUAUUUACCGUUAUUAUUCCCUAUGGGGAGCCCUAUCGUCGGAAGGUAAAUGUCUCAAAAUUUUUAUAUGGGCAGUUGCGUCUCAUCUAUGUGAGAGUUUUUUGUGUGGAAGGUUUGACCAAACUACGUAAUAUAGAGGGAGAUAUGAGCGUUUUCGUGUGAUAAGUGACGAUGGAUUAUGGUUGAUUGUUUCGAUCGAGCCCUUAACGUUGUCGGAUCCAGUUGAAUUUUUUACCAUAGACAUCUUUCGUCAGAAUGAUCAUAUCUGAUGGUCAAAUUUUAGUUUGUGAAUUUUAGUCAUCGGAAUCACAACGUGUCUACUAAUGUUGUAUAACUUGUUUAAUAGGUUACACAACUUUGUGAACCAACUCUACAUAGGAAGUAAAAUUAUCAAAAAUCUUGUGAAAUAAGAUGUGUUCAGAAUGGUGAAAUACGGCUAUGGUUUAAAAAUCACGUAAAUCGGGUAACGUCUCGGUGCCGAUAGUAGCGGUCAACCCUAUUUACAGUUAUUAUUCCCUAUGGGGAGCCCUAUCGUCGGAAGGUAAAUGUCUCAAAAUUUUUAUAUAGGCGGUUGCGUCUCAUCUACGUGAAAGUUUUUCGUGUGGAUGGUUUGACCAAACUACGUAAUAUAGAGGGAGAUAUGAGCGUUUUCGUGAAUUUAUAGACUUUAGCCAACGAGAUAUUAAAAAAGUCGUCGGUUAAGGUCAAUUUUUUUGGCGGUAAACCAAAUUUGGAGGAAAAUUUUCAAAAGACUUUAGCCGACAAAAAUAUAUGAAAAGUCGUCGGCUAAAGUCGAAAAAUUUUCAAAAUUUUCAACCAAAAUUUUUUGGCGGUCAACCAAAAUUUUCAAAAGAGUUUAGCCGACGAAAAUAAAUAAUUUCGUCGGGUAAAAUUCUUUAUAUAGGAGUUUUACCGGAGGUGGAUGGUAAGAAGUUAGAAAAUCAGAAAAAGGUCCGGAUUUUUUUCUCGGCCUAGCUCCGCCGUCAAGCCAUCGGAGACCGCCACACUUGUCCCAAAAGCUUCGCCGUCGUCUCUACUUCAUUGCUGGACAGGUGGUGCAUCGAGUGGCGCCGCUGUGAGGGAUAAAUCGAGGUCCAAAACUCUGCCGGUUCGGAUUCGGUGUCGAUCGAAUUUCUCCUUCCUCAAGUCACCAUUUGGUGAGCUCUAUAUAUGGAUAAGUUGAGUUUGAUUAGUACUACAUUCCCCUAGAAUUUGGUAGCUCGAUUCGCUGUGUAUGAGGAGAAUCGAAGAUUUGAAGUUUUUAGGGUUUAAAAUUGGGGAUUUUUAUAUUUUGAUUCAAUUGAUCUGUUUCGGCUUAGAAUUGGGCUUCGACUUCUUCUAGAAAGUUGUUCGAAAUGUUGAGAGGAAGAUUCUGUCAAAUUUUGGUGGUGAUUGGAGGUGGCCGAAAGUUUCUGCAGUUUUUUUUUUCCAAAAAACCAGCAACUUUAGCCGACGAUAUUUAAAGGUUUAGUCGACGAUAUUUAAAAUAUAGCCGACGAUAUUUAAAGAUUUAACCGAUGAUAUUUAAAUACUAUAUUCGUCGGCUAUAAUAUUUUUUAAUUUUUUUAUAAGGUUUAGCCGACAAAUUAUGGCAUAUUUCGUCGGCUAUAGUUAUUUUUAAAAUUUUUUUUAUAAGGUGUAGCUGACGAAACAGACUAUAUUUCGUCGGCUAUAGUCUGGGAAAAAAAAUUUUAUUACAGAGUUUAGCCGACGAAUAUCUUAAUUGUGUCGUCGGCUAAAGUUUGGGAAAAAGACCGACGACAUGUUUUUCGUCGGCUAAACUGUGAGACUAUAGCCGAUGAAAUUUUCUUUUUCGUUGGCUAAAGUCAUCGCCGACGACCUUUUCCCGACGAAAUUUUAGCCGACGAAUUAAGCUAACAGGCCGAUGAAACUUUUUCGUCGGCUAAAGUGCUUGUCCUGGUAGUAAUACCAAUAGCUACGCUAAAAGACAACUGUGUGUGUUUAGCUGUGCAGCCACGAUGCAUGGCAUGGUACUCGAUCAUCAACAAAUACAUCUUAGAUGACAUGAUAUGUCACCUAAAGACAUCACCAAUUAAAAAAGAUUAUGCCAUGUCAUUUUUAAGUAAAAAAAGACAAUCUUAUCUUUCCAAAUCCAAUGACUCUAGAUUAUUUUUUCUUUUUAUUAAGAGAAAAAAAAAAGAUUUUCUGUCUUUCUGUUAUAUUUAAAAAAUAAGAAAUUUUAAAUACACACCCCUAAUAUCCUUAAUACACACCCCUUACUUAAUACACCUCUAUCAAGUUUUUUAUUUCAAUAUUAUACUUAAUACACAUCCCAAACUGCCUAAAAUGCCCUUAAUUUAUGAAAUAUUCCGUUAUUUAAUAUAAUUAAUAUAUAUAUUUAUUAUUUGGUACAUCUUUUUAUAUAUUAUUUCGUCUAAUUUUUGCUAGAAAUUUUUGGUAAUUAUUGUUCAAUUUAUAAUCAAAUGAUUAUUGUUAUAUCCCAACUCCAAAUCACUAAUACAAGUUUUCAAAAUUCACAAGUUAAUACAACUGUAGAAGUACAGUAUCUAUUAAACAUUGAUAGCUAGUUAUUCAAUAAAACAUGUCAUGAUAGAGAUGCAGUAAUUGACAAUAUGAUAUGCAAGAUCAAACUAAAACAAAGAUGCAGUACUUGACAAUAUGAUCUGUAAGAUCAAACUAAAGCUGAUACGGAUCCAAGAAAAAGAAGAAAAAAGACAACCCAAAUGAAUUGUGGAGAAGAAUUGGGGUUAGAGCCGGAAGAAUAAAUGCUUUCGAUGAUUUUAGGGUAGAAGAUGUUGAAAAGAACACUUCUAGAGUGAUUUUUUUUUUUAAUAAUAGAUUUAUGUUUUGGUCAUUUAGCUUACAUAUAAAAUCUCAAUAGAAACAUAAAAUAAUAAGGGUGUGUAUUAAGAGAUUAUGGGUGUGUAUUUAAAAUUUCUCUUAAAAAAUAUAUAAUUUCUAUCAUUUUUUUUCUUUUUUCCUUUUCAUCACUAUCAUGCUUAGAUUGAACACUAAAUACAAUGUGAAAAUACAUAUAAAUAUGAGAAUAUACUUGUUAAAAAACACAAAUUCUUAUGAAAUAUAUAUAUAUACACACACACACAUACAUAUAUAUAAUUUUCCAAGAAAAACCAAUUUCGUACAGAAGAAAAAAUUUACAUAUUGUUCUAGGAUAUUCUAUGUCUUUCUAUAUAUUCUUUAUGUGUGCUUUAGCCUUAUGUCAAUAGGAUAUGUAGUUAGACUAGAUCUAUGUAUUCAUAUCCUUACCAUAUUAAUAUUGUAUAAUUCCCUAUAUAAAGUGCUCAUAUCAAUGAAUAAGAUGAUGAUUAUCUUGCUAUCUCUUUGCCUAUACACUUUAUACUUCAUCACGUUAUCAUACACUUUGUUCUAACCUUAGAACUAAUAGCCCACCAUUUUCUUUCCAAACCCUAAAAACCAAAACCGGAGGUUCUCGGCCCUGCCUCGGCCGCCGCCGUCGCUUCCCGGCCGUCCACUCCGCUGCUUUCUUUUCAUCCGAUCAAGCAUCCAAGUGUUUACGGUAUGUUUAUUUUACAACCCUAAAACUCUUCUAAGUUCAAUAACCUCGGGGGAGAUAAAGUGCUUUCUCCCCUUCUUCUACUCCAUUCUAUGCUUGGGUCGGUGUAUUUGCAGGUAUCAAAAUCCCGGAAUUUUAUUCGCGGGUCAAGAGUGUGUUUGAUCAAUCUUGUUUCCUUGUCCGGGUUGUGUAUGAUCAACCCCGACCUAUCAUCGGAUUGUGUUUGAUCAAUCCGAGGCCUUUUCCGAAUUGUGUUUGAUCAAUUCACGGCUUUUCCGGAUUGUGUAUGAUCAAUCCGAAGGACAAAUCAUUAAAAACAUUGUUUGUGAUCUCUAUCGAGUCUCAUAACAGCUUGGUUUUGUAUGCAAGAGCAAUGUAACAUUCUGCUCCUUUGAGUUUUGACGUACUCGAUACCUAAGGCGAAUCUUCGCUUGGUAUCUGUGGAACCUUUCAUUGGAAAUGAUUAAACCACAUGUUUUGACCCCGAGGCUAACAAGCCUAGAUGCCGAGAUUUCACAUCUCAUGCGCUCAAAGUCUUUGACGCGCCAUAUCGACAAAAGUCUUCAAUGGCAAUCUGUGCAAAAAGUAAUGACCACAAAGUACUGUGGAAUGCAUUCAUGGAGCGUUUCUUGAAAGGUUCAUAUAACUGUACUUGUUGAGUUAUUAGUCAAGUGGAUUGUUCACCACCUUAAUUGACUACAUAUUGUCGAUGAUCUUUUGUGGCAUCAUGAUCCAUAAUCUUUAGCGGAUUCGAUCAUCAUCAAGUUCUCUAGCUAGGUCCUCCAAGUUGGUUUGAAAUUACCAACAAGACUUAAUUUUGAUCUUACAAUUGCAAACGAGAAUUGUAUAUACGUUAAUGUGAUAAACGUAUUUGGGAUUAUCUCCUAAUGUGGGGACAACAAUAUGGGUCAUGGCAACGGUAGAAAACACCGUGCCGAUGUCUAGAAAAGAGGGGGAGGUGCCGCCGGCCCUAAUGGCGACACUCUCGGUCUAGACACCAAUUAUAUUUGUCAAAACUACUCACGUUAGCUCAUGACAAUGCAACCGUUGUGGAUCUUUGGAUCACUGGUUCAAGAUUGUCAAGCUCCUUCAAAUUGUGAAUGCAUACAAAAAGGUACGGAAAAUUAAUAUGAGGACAAGAACGUCAUCCUCAUGAUCAAGAAUUUCGAAGAUUCGGAUCCUGCUCUAACUACCCCUAACUUUGACAUCAUUGGCUAGACAUUGAUUUUCUUUCCAAGCUAUAGGUAAUAAGUCUUCGUCUAUUUGAGACCUCGAUGUACUCACAUUAGCAAUAAUGAAUGUCUUAAGAAUUUUUUCGAAGUUAUGAAACUAUUCUCCUCUUAUGGUUCGUAUUGAUUUACAAAAAAGAUAUACAUUCUUACAUCGUCCUUAGAAACAUGGCAUAUUCUUCCUUUGAAGGUGACUCAUGGCACCGCAUCCUCAAUGAGGAUCACCCACGUGUUUCCGGUUAAGUUAAGUCUUCUACCCUAUAGCAGAUUUUCUAUCAUCAAUUGUUCAACUAGGCUCAUCCAAGCUCAGUGUGAUAUCUUAGAACUGUUCGAAAUUAAGGAGAUAGUGGUUUCAAGUGUGCCUCGCACUACCAACCCUCUACGGACAUGCCUGGUCAUACUGACUUGGAGUUACCGAAAGCUUUUGAUUUUGGAUCCCCUUACGCUAUUAAACCAAUUGCCGUCUUGCAAAAGACGUUGAAAACUUAUCAAAACCGGAAAAUUAUCAUCAUGAUCGAAUCAUCUAGGUCCUCUGAGUUAGUUUAUGUUCAUGUUAGGGAGCUUUUGCUGACUAGUCAUGGAGUUUACGACCUUAGAACGACUGAAAGGACUUGGUUUUGAUCAUACACACGUCACUUUUUGCUAAGGCAAAAGCCUACACGCCACUUGCAAGCUUCACAGCUUCGCACAUGCCAAUUCUGUGAAAAACAGCAAUCUGUCCCUUCUAGACAGUCAACUUCGUUUGAGUUUUGUGAACUGCUCCAGACGAAUCAGACAGUGAGCUUUAUAUCAUUGGAAAGCUCUACGAGUGUAGUUUUCACAACUUUUCACGGUUUGUCCAUAUCUAUUUUCACGAAGAAGUUAUGGCUUUUUUAGUGCGCAAAGGUCAUUCUAUGCUGAAAUUUUUAUGCACUCUCGGGAUUGCAGCUUUUCGUAGCUUCUUUCAAUCCUUCUAAAUGGUUCAAGUGGAACUAUUUACUCUCUUAUCUACUCCAUUUUUGUAGAUCUGUCAUAUAGAGACAUUGAGUGCCUCGUAGAUAGUGGAACUAUCCACAACAUUCUAAGGAACCGGCAACUAUCUUUGGAUUUUGUGCCUUUAUAAAUCUUCUGUGACUACAAUGAUUGAAUCAUACCGGUCAUUCAGGGACGCGGUUUAGCUUGAAUCUUGAUGCCUCAUGGCACCAUGAUCAAUGUCACAGAUACCCUCUAUGCAUUGAGAGGCAAUCGAACCAUAUUCAGCUUUAAAGACAUUCCUGCUAAUAGUUUUCAUUUGAAAACACAUUGUGAGAAUAAACAAGAAUUCUUUUGUGUAUACCUUCUCAUGAAUGCGGACUGAAGCGCAUCUUGGAGAAAUUCAUGGUGGACUGUAUGUCACUACGAUUCGAAUAUCGAAUCCCAUGUUAUCGCCAAACAUGAUAUUUGGGACAUCGACUCAUAUAGGCUUUGGUUUGACCAAAUUGGUCACCUGGAAGAGAUAUAAUGGUCCAAAUUUUGAAAAAUUCUCAUGGACAUCCAUUCUUCCUCUCAAAACGAAGACAUUCGAGAUCUACCAUCACCAUGAAGCAUGGUGGUGACCCGGGGGAUAUUGACGUCACCCGAACACGACUCCAACUUCCUGGAGGUCGUCCGGUCAAUUCCUCAAGCAAUUGAGGUGCACCGGUCUUCUCUCGAUGUCGCAUUGGCCCCCUGCAAUGCUCAUUGCUCGUUUUGAAAGCUUAUUCUUUAGCUAAAUUAGGAGUGAGACCCUCCUACGCUAAAUGACACAAAAGAGAAUAUUCUAUCCUUACAUCAAACUAUGUAGAUAAAUACAACCAACUUGCGGACACCUUUUUAUGCUUUAUGGUGUUGGUUGAAGUGUUAACACACUGGUCACAUGUUACACUAUUAUCUACGGUUUAUGCUGCUUAUACUUCUACGGGCUCACUACCCAUAUUCUUUAAAGAAGUUUAUCGGGAUGUAAGUUGACUAUUCUUCUACGACCCACCAUCAUUGAAUAUUUUUGUACUACAGCUCGUGACUGUGUACCAGGAUUGCAAUCCUUGAGCUCAAACAAGAUUGAACUAUAUCUCCAAUCCUUGAGCUCGGCUAAAUGUUAUUUCUAGGUGCCAAAUCGCAUUGCCACUGCGUACAAUGAUGGGUCAUUUGAGAUGAACCUCCACCUAUAAUCCGCAUAUGUAGAAACCUUGCCAGACGAUCUCUUUCACCGCUAUAUUGCGGAUGGUCACUUUGAUGAGACAAUAUUCCCGCCGUUAGGGGGAGAUAAGAACAUAAGUGUUCAAUUGGAAGGACGUGAAUUGUCGUGGUUUGUCCCCACUAAGUCUCAUCUUGAUCCCAAAUGCUUAAAGUAUUAAAGUUACGAGAUCACAUGUUGCAAAUAUGUCUGCAAGGAUUGAUGUCCUCCAAAAGGACAUGGUGCGACCAAAUGGUGUUGGUCUUGACGCCAUCACCAUGGAUGGUGAUAUAGUGACGCCAUAUAGUGGCAAAAUUAGUGUCACAAGGCCCUGUGGCUCCCCAAAAGAAGGGAGACCCUUAGGUUCGAUACUUUCUCGCACUAGAAAGAAAGCGAGCUUGGCACAAUCUGAUCCAUUAAUCAGUGAUACUCAAAUCCGUCUCAUGAAGUCUGAAUUGUGAUUAUCGUUGGGGGAGGCCUCAAUGUCAAAUCCAAUCCAUAUAAAGAUCUCUACAAGUAUUACACUAGUGUAUAUGAGGACGUGGGAUAAUGAGUCUACUAUCAAACCACCCUUCGUUGAUGGAUAUCAACUUAGUUAAUUGGCCUAAUGGAAAGAUGCGAUCCAACAUUAACAAAGAGAUAGGUCCUUGGGCAGGUGAUGCCGACACCGCAAGCUAAACCCUAUCAACUAUGUCUUUGUUAGAUAGCAUAGUAAGAACAAGAGUUUAAACUCACCUUAUGGCGCAGGGUCUCUCACUAACACGCACUGAGAUCGACUACAAUGAGAUAUGCUCUCCUAAUGGAUGUCAUUGAACUCCACUACUUUGUCAGUUUGGUAGUUUCCGAAUAACUGAACAUGCAGCCUAUGAAUGUGGUCAUAAUAAUAUCUCUAUGGGAUCAGAGAUAUACAUGAAGAUCUUAAACGGACUUCAUUCAUCCGAAUCAAGUGGUUCCAAACCACAAGAGCAUGCGUUUGCUAAAUGUAUUGAAACACACAUGGACUCUACUUGAUUUGGAAGGGAUAUGGUGAAUUAUGCCCUUGUGUGUUCAUUCCGGAUUUACAUGGACUCUUGAUGGAUCAAGAGAUGCCAAUAUGUAUCAACAUCCGAAGAAAAAGAUCUUGGGAAGACACAGUCUUGAUAAGGCACUCGAUGACUGUAUUGAUGAUGAUUUUCCAUCAAUCGGCUUAGGCACUUUAUAACUAGUGAGGCCUACAUAUACUCCCAUGAUUAGUCAAGGUCUUUGCUAUAAAUAGAGAUCUGUUGUUUUGUCUAAAGCUAAAUGACAAAUAUGUGUUAAGAGAUGGAGUUCCCAUCUAAGUACAAUAAGACGCAUCAAUGUACUCAACACAAUACGAAAGACUUGACAUCUUAUUCGCUAUGAAAAGUUAUAAAGCUAAGUGUAGCUAUGCGCCCACGCAACACCAAUGUAAUGGCAGUAACUCCUUUUUCAAUACUUAAUGGUAUGAAAGGUUGAGGCUUAUUCUAUCCGUACAUAAGAAAGACACAUCAAUAGCGAAAUCAGAAUCUGCCAAGUUUUGUAGGUCAACUUCCACGGGACCUACAGGAAAUCUCACUCACUAGAAAAUGGUGAAAUUGGUACCAUUGAAAAGAUCUAUGUGUCUACUUUCCAGGCACACCAACCAUUUGAUCAUACCUAUCAUAUUGAGUGAGUUAUGGCCAUUUUCGUAAAGUAGGACGAAUCUGUCCGAGAAUCUGAUUUUGGCAAAAUAGUCAACUUCGACGGAACUUUGUGAACAGAUCCUGACAAACCAGAAUGUGUGUAUAUACGGUUGGAAAGCUAAAUGAGUCUAGUUUCCAAAACCGUUUACGGUUCGUUCAUAUGUAUUUCCUAGAGGAAGUUACGACUGUUCUACUAACUGAAGGUCAUGCUGCGCAGAAAUCUGAUUUCCUGCACGAACUUAUGUUUUAAGUUCACAAGCGACCUUCUCCUCAAGAUCUAAGUGUAAAAGAUCAUUUGAGGACAAUACGGCAUGAUUUAGUUAAUCAUUGCCCAAUGCCACAUUUGAAGACAUGUUAAAGAGCAUUGACAUGCUAAGUUGUUAAAACUUCCGUGAUUAGUAAAAAUCAGGAAGAGCCCUAUGAUUGAUGUAAAGAUCAGGGGGAGGUGCAAACUUCAGGGGGAGUCUAGCACAUACAUACAUGUCGCUAUCAAAUGUGAAGGGUGCGUUGUACUCUUUUUCUCCUAAGAUCAAGGUUCAGUUUUUCUCCCACAAGAUUUUUGUGACUUGAUGAGGUUUUUGACGAGGCAACAGAUCAGUACCAUCGGCAUAUCAGCGCACGACACAAGAGGGAGUGUUCUAGGAUAUUCUGUAUCUUUCUAUAUAUUCUUUAUGUGUGCCUUGGCCUUAUGCCAAUAUGAUAUGUAGUUAGACUAGAUCUAUGUAUUCAUAUCCUUAUCAUAUUAAUAUUGUGUAAUUCCUUAUAUAAAGGGCUCAUAUCAAUGAAUAAGAUGAUGAUUCUUUUGCUAUCUUUUUAUCUAUACACUUUAUACUUCAUCACCUAUAUAUAAUUUGUCCAAAAUAAAUUUUAAAUAUACGUAAUCAUCCAAAAGAAGUUCGAUAGAGAUUUUUCUAUUUUUUAUUUUAUAUUCGAUAUAGAAUAUGGCAUAUAGAUAUCAUAAUUUUGUUAUGUAAAAAUAAAAUAUUAAAAUUGAUAAGUUAAAAGUCUAGAACUAAAUUUUGGUUCACAAAGAUAGACACUACCAGAAGAAAGGCUUUAGCCGACGAAAAUAGAAAAACCAGGUUGACGAACUAUUUUUUGUCGGUUAAAGUCCACGUUAGCCGACGAAAUUUUACUUCGUCAGCUAAUUUAAAUAUUCGUCGGCUAUGGUCAACUUUAGCCGACGAAAUUAAAAAUUCGUCGGCUAAAGAAUUUUUUUCGUCGGUUAUAGUCUGUGAACUAUAGCCGACGACUUUAACCAUACUUUAGCCGAUGAGUGCUUUAUAUUUGCAGAUCUGGACAACAGCUCAUGUAGGAAAAAAAACGGGAGAAAAGGUUUGGGUGUUGUCGAAAUCUAUCCAUAAUUAGUUUGUGGAGCUAUAUAUAGGUACGUAUAUGUGUAUAUAUGUUGAUUUUGAGUUUUAUUUGAGUUGAUCUAUUUUGAGUGUGAUUGAGUUGAUCGAUUUUGAGUACGUGGAUGUAUAUAUAUAUGUGUUGAUCGAUUUGGUUAAUGAUUUGAUAAUAUAUAUGAAGUUGUUGUUAAUAAGUACUAGAUAUAUAUAUAUAUAUAUAUAUAUAUAUGUUAAUUAAUUUAUAAUAUUGUGUUGUAUGGUAUGUAGUUGUUGAUGAUAUGAGUUGAUGAUGUAUUUGUGAUGAUUGUUGAUAUAUAAUAUUGUAUGUAAUUAUUAAGUGUGUAUAUAUAUAUAUAGUGUGUGGUUAUUUAAAUUUAAUUUGUUAAUUAAUUAGUUGUAGUACGUAGAAUACUAAAUGAAUUGAGAUUUAUAUAUGGAAUUUAAUUAAUAAUUAGCUAGAGUUAUACAUAUAUAUUUUGUUAUAUUUUCAAGAUAUGGAUAAAAGUUGGAUUUCGCUUCCAAAAUGGGACAAAAGAUAUGGUAAAAGAGUUAUGAGUUUUCUGGAAUAUGCGCUGGCUAAUGCUAACGGGAAUACAAUUUUCUAUUGCCUGUGCACGAAAUGUCAGUGUCGCAGCGAUAUGCAUCGAUUUACGAUUGACAAAGUAUGGCAGCACCUGAAGAGUAACAGGUUUUGGGAGAAGUACACAUGUUGGUUAUAUAUAUCACGGUGAAACAUCAUCAGGGGGUCCGCAUGAUCAUGACUAAUUUUCUGAGACGGGCAGUACAUCCAACGAUCCAACAACGGCGUUCAUCAACGACAUGUUUCCUUAUGAGAGUGGUGUAUGCGCUCAAGGACAGUAUAUGCCUGAGCCGAUGUAGCCCUUCCCUAGAGUUGUCAACACUGCUGGUAUUGACAAGUACAACAAACUGCUUGCUUUCCAACAGACCCCUGUGUACCCCGGUUGUCAGAAGACCGUUCUUGAAAGUGUGAUGGACAUAAUGAAGAUUAAAGUUGAGACAAAAUCGACCGUGAAGGCUGUUGAUGAUUAUCUACAGUACACUGCUUCGAUGCUGCCCCACGGUCAUCGUCUUCCUACCACUCAUCAUUAGGUCCGAUGUAUCCAGAAAGAUCUUAGGCUUUCCUACAUCAAGAUCCAUGCAUGCAGAUAUGAUUGCGUUCUCUUCUGGGGUAAAGAUCUAGAAGGGAAUGACCUUGGUGGCCUUGACGUAUGUCUGGUAUGUCACACUGACAAAUAUAAGCUGACUCCUGUAGGCAAUAGGAAACCUGUGAAGGUACUUCGGUAUUUCCCGUUGAGGGAUAGGCUGGAGCGGUUGUACAUGUCUUCACACACAGCCGAAGCUAUGAGAUGGCACGCUGAUAGGGAAUUGGAUGACGAAGAUACUCUUAUACACCCUGCUGACGGGGAGGCUUGGAAGCAUAUAUAGACAAGGAGUUUCCUCAUUUUGCGUCAGAGGUCCGAAAUGUGAGGCUCGGGCUCUCAUCCGAUGGGUUCAACCCUUUUGGCAACAUGAGUCUUCAAUACAGUGUAUGGCCGGUGAUUUUGGUACCGUACAACCUUCCUCCAUGGAUGUGCAUGAAGAAGGAAUACAAUAUGUUGAGUUUGUUGAUUCCGGGGCCCGGUUAUCCAGGGAAGUGUCUCGAUGUGUAUUUGAGACCUUUGAUUGAAGAGCUUAAGUUUUUGUGGGACGUUGGUCAUCCCAUUUAUGACAAGUACAUGCACGAGAUGUUCCAGAUGCAUGUCAAGGUUGUUGGUACCAUCAGUGAUUUUUUCCUGCCCGUGGGAUGUUGUCGGGCAACGUUGUUAGGGGAUACAAGNNNNNNNNNNNNNNNNNNNNNNNNNNNNNNNNNNNNNNNNNNNNNNNNNNNNNNNNNNNNNNNNNNNNNNNNNNNNNNNNNNNNNNNNNNNNNNNNNNNNNNNNNNNNNNNNNNNNNNNNNNNNNNNNNNNNNNNNNNNNNNNNNNNNNNNNNNNNNNNNNNNNNNNNNNNNNNNNNNNNNNNNNNNNNNNNNNNNNNNNNNNNNNNNNNNNNNNNNNNNNNNNNNNNNNNNNNNNNNNNNNNNNNNNNNNNNNNNNNNNNNNNNNNNNNNNNNNNNNNNNNNNNNNNNNNNNNNNNNNNNNNNNNNNNNNNNNNNNNNNNNNNNNNNNNNNNNNNNNNNNNNNNAAAGAAUGGAAGAAAAAAAUGUCUCAAACUCCUUACACCGUGAUGCCUGACCAGAAGAACGUAAUUUUCAGGUGGAUGAGUCGUGUGAAGUAUCCUUCAGGCUAUGCAGGAAAUAUAGCCCGGUGUGUGAACUUCCAGGACAAUAAGAUGUACGGGUUGAAGAGUCAUGACUGUCAUAUCCUGCUACAACGUCUCUUCCCUGUUUUCAUUUAACCGUUCCUUCCCCGUCUGGUGGUGGAGCCGUUAGUAGCGUUGGCAAAAUUCUUCCAGAAGUUAUGCACACGGGAAAUGAAAAAAUUUAACCUCCGGGAAAUGCAAGAGGACAUCAUUUAUAUCAUGUGUAAAUUUAAGAGGAUAUUUCCUCCAAAUUUUUUUGACAUCAUGCCUCACCUGAUGAUCUAUCUUCCCGAGCAAUUGUUGCUUACCGGUCCAGUACACUACACUUGGAUGUAUCUCAUGGAAAGGUACGUUUUUUACACCUAAAUUCCUCAAUAUAUAUACAUGUUCAAUAAUCAUAACACUUUGCAACUUGAUUUAUAUGCAACUUGGAGACUACAAAGAUUAUGUGGUUAAUAAAUCCGCGCCUGAAGGAUGUAUAGUUAAAGCAUAUAUUGCGCACGAGUGUGUCACCUACAUGAAGUUGUAUUUAGGAGCGUUGAAGGAAACUCCGCAAACCAUACCGGUAGAUAUACCGACGUUCAAUCUUUCCAUACUCUCCAGUGAUGUUGAAGUUUAUGGAAUUUUGCCAGACUCCUACAAGUUGCAACCACAUGAGCUAGUCAUUGCCCACUGGUGGAUAUUGAUUAACUGUCCAGAAGUUGAAUACUGGAAAGACAUCCAUCUAUAUUGUCUAGACAUAUAAGGUGAUCUCGAGUACCACAAUAGGGAGUUCGCAAAUUAUAUAUUUUGGCGGCUGGGUACAUAAUUCAAUAUUUCUGUACGUGUUUAUGUUUAUUGUAUAAUUAUUCAUAUUUACAGUUGAAUGGUUAGUUGCAGAUGAACCAUAUUUAAUUUGAUGGUCACCCAAAUUGGUCGCACGAACUAAGACUUUUAGCGAUGAAGCCGAUAAUGUCAAGAGUUUAUCCGAUGUGCAAGGUGAAUGACGUGCAAUUUAUAUGUGAACAGAGAGACAGCAGACGGAGAACACAGAAUUCUGGGGUAAUGGCGCAUGGUGGGCAGAAUGGAGUUGCCUAUUACGAUGUUCUCCAUUCAUUGGUGGAACUCACAAUGCACCUCUUCAAGUGUAGAUAGUUUGAUACUAGGUCGCAGAGCAUGAAGACCGAUCAGUACGGAAUAUUAUCGGUGAAAACUGCUACAAGUUGUUACGAAGAUGACCCGUUCGUUUUUGCCACAUCGGUAAAACAAGUGUUUUAUCUUGAUGACCUUGCUAAGGGUGACACGUGGAAAGUAGUCAACCUUGUGCACCCUCGAAACAUUUACCGGGCGGCUACACUUGGAGAGGCCGAAGACGAGGAAAAAGAUGUUGCGUAUCAAGAGCCCAGCGCAAUAGGUAUUCCUAACUCCUCUACUGUUGGCCUUAAUAAUUUUAAAGCGGGUCGUUCGGUGCAAAUUCGUGAUGAAGAGACGAGGCUUAUUGAUAUUGAUCCAAAUCAAGAAACAGACGAAGACUCUGGCGAUGAGGAAAUGUAUAGAUUACCAAAAAUUAAUUCUGACACCGAAGAAGACUCAUCGGAUGAUUCCGAUUACGAGCCUUAGUUUUAAUUUCGAUUACAUUAAUUUGUAAUAAAAAAGAAUGUAUUACAUUUAUAGUUUAUAUGUGUUGAAUUCAUAUUUCAGUUAUUUUAUAUGAAUUUUGGUGAUAUAUGAACAUGAAGUUAGUAUGGUUUACAUUAAACGUUCUGUUUUUUUAAUGUAUUUUUAUACUUUAGCCGACGAAAUAUACCAUAAUUCGUCGGCUUAAACAAUCUUAGCCGACGAAAUAUACCAGAAUUUGUCGGCUAAGAUGCGGUUAGCCGACGAAUACCCUAAUAUUUCGUCGGCUAAACCCUAAACCCUAAACCUUAGCUGACGAAUACCCUAAAAUACGACUUGUUGCGUCUCAUCGAUUUGAAACUAUUUUCAGUUGAAGGUCCGGCCAAGAUACGUAAUUUAGACGGUCCAAUGACCUUUUUCGUGCGUUUAGGAGUUUGACUUACGAGAUUGACCGUCUGGAUCGAGCCCUUAACCUUGUCGGAUCAAGUUGAUUUUUUUCCCAUACAUGUAUUUUAUCAUGAUGGUCAGAUCUGACGGUCGAAUUUUCGUUUCUCAAGUUUGGUCAUCACAAUCACAACAGCCUACUAAUCUUGUGUAACUUGUUUACCAAGUGUUAAGUAAAUGUUCCGUUUCAAAAACAAAUUAUACGUAGAACCUUCAAACGCAAAAAAGUCGUGAAAUAAGAUAUGACUAGAAUGGUGAAAUACGUCCACGGUUGUAAAAUCACGGUAUUCCGGUAAAUUCUCGGUGCCGAUAGUUGCGGUCAAUGCAAUUUUCCAUUAUUUAUCCCUAUGGGUAGCCUUAUCUUCGGUGGUUAUUUUCCGUAAAAUUUUUAUACGACUUGUUGCGUCUCAUCGGUUUGAAACUAUUUUCAGUUGAAGAUCCGGCCAAGAUACGUAAUUUAGACGGUCCAAUGACAUUUUCCGUGCGUUUAGGGGUUUGACUUACGGGAUUGACCGCCCGGAUUGAGCCCUUAAACUUGUCGGAUCAAGUUGAAUUUUUCCCAUACAUGUAUUUUAUCAUGAUAGUCAGAUCUGGCGGUCGGAUUUUCGUUUCUCAAGUUUGAUCAUCACAAUCACAACAUGUCUACUAAUGUUGUAUAACUUGUUUACAAAUGUCAAGUAAAUGUUCCGUUUCAAAAACAAAUUAUACGUAGAACCUUCAAACGGAAAAAAGUCAUGAAAUAAGAUAUGACCAGAAUGGUGAAAUACGUCCACGGUUGAAAAAUCACGGUAUUUCGGUAAAGUCUCGGUGCCGAUAGCGCUCAAUGCAAUUUUCCAUUCUUUCUCCCUAUGGGUAGCCCUAAUGUCGGUGGUUAUUUUCCGUAAAAUUUUUAUACGACUUGUUGCGUCUCAUCGCUUUGAAACUAUUUUCAGUUGAAGGUCCGGCCAAAAUACCAAAUUUAGACGGUCCAAUGACCUUUUUCGUGCAUUUAGGUUUGACUUACGGGAUUGACCUUCCGGAUCGAGCCCUUAACCUUGUCGGAUCAAGUUGAAUUUUUUCCCAUACAUGUAUUUUAUCAUGAUGGUCAGAUCUGACGGUCACAUUUUCGUUUCUCAUGUUUGAUCAUCACAAUCACAAUUUGCCGAAUGUAUAAAAGUACUUUAACCCCAGGUUUAGCCGACGAAAUUCAAAAGUUAGCUGACGAAUUUCAAAUGUUUAGCCGAUGAAUUUCAAAUGUUUAGCCGACGAAUUUCAAUGUUUAGCCGACGAAUUUAUCUUAGCCGACGAAUUUAAUAGGUUUAGCCGACGAAAUAAAAAUUUUGUCGGCUAAAGUUAUCAGGUAUAUCCCAGCGCCUGACAGCCUCCACAGCGCGAGAAAAAAACCCUAAAAACAAACCCGCCGCUCGCCUGCCUCACCGUGACGUCGUCGCUCCACAGCCUCCACCGCCUCCUAGGUUUGGCCCAAUCUCCCUCUCCUGGUCUCCCUCUCCCUCUCCCCGUCGCUCACCCAUCGUCGUCGCCUGCUCCGCUGCUCUACUCCCUUUUCAAGGUCAGGUACGGUCAUGAUCUCCCUUUUCAUAUUUCUUGUAAGGAAUCGAUCGAAUGCCGUGUGGGUUUUUGGGUUGUAUUGAAUUGUUAAUUAUUGUUACUGUUAUUAUAAUUGUUUGGAAUUUAAUGGGUAUGAAUACGAUUUGUUCAAAUUUAGAGUUUUCAAUCGAGUUAGGGUUACGAUUUCUAAGUUUGUUGUUGAUUGAUUUUGGAGGCUAAGCAUCAUAAGCAUACUGUAUACAUUUGUUGAUCAUUUUUCAGCUGAUUUACCUUAUUUAUUGUGUGAAUUAAAACUUAAUUUUCACACUCAUAAUUGUAAUGUUUUAAACAGGAUGAGCGGUAAUUUUAGAUCGACGAAGGGUUCGAAGGGCCAAAGGUCCGAAUUGUCUGAGGGAACCUUAAGCAACCCUCAAACGUCGUUUCAGGACCCCAUGACAGCUAGACGUGCGACCCUUUUGGAGACGGCACACAGGCAGCGGGAGGUGCCCCCUUCAUCGAGGCAGCCGGACGUCGCUCAUUUCUCGAGGCAGCUGUGGCCUCAGACCCAGACAGAGGUGUCUGCACCCCGUAUGCCUGAGAUACACCGGGCGCCCACUCCGAGUCCUACUUCUUCGGAUAGUGGGUUCUUCGGAUAGUGGGUCAUCUGGGGUACAGAUGCCGCCGCCUCAUCUGUUCCUUCCGCGGAUGAUACCGGCCUUACCUGCAGUCGAUGACUCAAGGACGCCGAUUUAUCCACUGCCCCCGCCAGUGGCUCCAUCAGCGGCGCACCGGUUCGUGCCUUUUGAUACGCCUCUUAUUUUCGCGUGGGUAUCAUCAUCGGCGACAGAGACGGAAUCCGUCGCGUCCACCGCAUCACCCUCACGUAAUGAAAGAUGAAUGAUUUGUUUUCUUAUAAUUAAUAAUAAAGGGUCUUUGAUUUUAAUAAUCAAUUUGGUUUAUCAUGUGAUAGGCACCGUCGUAGCGAAGCCGACAAAGAAGAAGAGAGGCCCCGUCACAGGGAAGGCUCUCGAGAAGACCGUUAGUACCUCAGGGAGGAUCGUCGUCGGUACUAACGGGGAUGGCCACAUAGUAUCGGGCGGGAAGUCGAGGACGUACUCCGGCCGCGUAGGAGCGCUCAUUAGGGAUAGAGUCCUUAUGUUGUGGUCAGACUGGGGCGAGGUCCCGUAGGAGGUUAAGGACAUGGUCCAUAACGCGAUGUCGGUGAGUUUACAAAAUGCCUCAAUAAUAUUAUGUAUUAUAUUGUUGAUUUCUCGAAAAACUAAACUAAUAAACGGUUAAAUGCAUGUGUGAUUUGAAGUUCCCGAGCACCUGAAGAACAGCUGGGCGGACGUUGUGCAUGGGGGAAGGUACGUUGGGAAGUUAAUGAAAAAACAAAAUUGUAUGUAAUAUUAAUAAUAUUUCUAAUAUUUUUGUUGUAUCUGUAGGUAAAAAGAGUGGAAGAACGAGUUGCGGACCCACUGGACUAUGCACGGGAACGCACGUUCUGGUACCCUUGUUGAGUUCCAGUAUAGGGAGUACGAGUGGCGUUGACUUCUGACAUCAGAAUUCAACAACCCUCGUAAACAGGUAUUUAAAAUUAUUUAUUUAAUUUGUCAUUAAGUACGUCCGUUUUUAAAUAUUUUACUAAUAGUUUAUUUUUUUCUUUGAAUGCCGUUUCCCGGGCGAACGCUCAGAACCGGCAACCCAACACAAGGAACCAUCAUGCCGGUUCUAGACCGUUCGCUGUCUUCAUGGACGAGGCGGCCAGGGAACAUCCAGAAGUCAACCGGUACGUCUAUACGUACGAGAAGAUAUAUCCUGACACCCAGGAGGAUAUUGUAAGUCAUCUUACGUUUUUAAAUUUUUAAUUUACUUAUAUAUAUGUCAAAAUGUUAAUUAAUCAUUUUUUUCCUAUCCAAUUAGGCUAAAGUGAGGGAGGGUAGUGACGAGGUGAUGAGUACGUGCUAUAGUGAGGGAGGCAUGGCCGGACACGCAGGAGGAAGAGAUGUCCGAAGCCAUGUCCUGGAUCGACACUUCGGAUCCGAGGGUUAGGGCGAGGAUCAUGGGCACAGCCUUCCCACCGCGAGGAAACAACUUCUACUGUCGGGGUCUAGGAAAGAAGGGCGAGGGGGUCCUGAAAACCACUCCAGAAUUUCAACGAAAGGCAGCCUCGAGUUGGAAGUUGAGAGACUACGGGAACAACAAGCUGCUCAGGCUAGAGUCGGAAGUUCAAAGACUACGGGAACAACAAGCUGGUCAGGCUGCCUAUAAUGCCGUGCAGACAGCCUAUACUGCCAUGGUAUAUGCCGCUCAACAGGCCCAGCAGCAGCAGAUGUUCCAGUACAUGCAGGAGUUUACAGCUACCCAGCUUCAAGGACUUCCGCCUCGGCCCAUGCCUACGCCUAUACCGCUACCUCUACCGCCGCAACGUCCUACGCAGCAGCCCCCAGAAUCGAAUAUUGAUUUAGACGAUCUAGAUUUUGUGUGGUUGAUCAAUUAUAUAGUUUUAUUUGUUUGUUGUUGGUUAUAUAGAAUUGUUUUGGUGUAUUUUGCAGCUUGCUUGGAAUGGUAAUUUAGAAAUUUCGGGGUUUUCUUUUUACUGGAAUGGACUUAUAGCCGACAAAACAUGCAAGAUAUUCGUCGGCUAUAGUAUUUUUAAUUCUUUUUAAUACGGUUUAGCCGACGAAUUAUGGCAUGUUUCGUCGGCUAAACACUUAUAAACCCGAGGAAACAGACUAUAUUUCGUCGGCUAUAGUUAUUUUUUUAAAAUUUUUAUUACAUACCCCGAGGAAACAGACUAUAUUUCGUCGGCUAUAGUUAUUUUUUUAAAAUUUUUAUUACAUACUUUAGCCGACGAAUAUCUUAAAUUUUUCGUUGGCUAAAGUCUCAGACUACGGUCGAUAAAACAUUUAAGAUAUUCGUCGGCUAGAUUCUGGGACAAUAGCCGACGACUUGUUUUUCGUCGGCUAAACGCUAGGACUAUAGCCGACGACGUCUUCUUAUUUCGUCGGCUAAAGUCAUGGCCGACGACCCUUUCCCGACGAAAUCAUAGCCGACGAAGGCCCGUCGGCUAAGAUCUUAACCGACGAAUUAAGCUAACAGGCCAAUGAAACUUUUUCGUCGGCUAAAGUGCUUGUCCUGGUAGUGAGAAGGAAAUUUUAAUAAAUUUACGAAAUUAAUUUAUGGUAGAAAAACCUAAUUUGGUAUGAUUAUUAACUUGGUCAUUAUUAAUAAAUUAAUUAAAUUUGAUAUGUACGCAUCCAUAUUAAGAUGUUAAGAAAAUAUUCCAUAUUAAUAUGUAACAUCCAUUAAUUGUUAGAGUUAAGAUUGUAUUUUUAUCUAAGAAUGAAGUGUUAUAAUUUAAUAAAUUGAUGAUGUGUCUAUGUGACAUGACAUGUCAUAUAGGAUUAAGAUCAUAAAUCUUAGGUCUUAUUAAGACCCUCUAAUACUACCAUUUAUUUAUUUAUUAGAAGUAGUAACACACUUACUUAAUUAAUUUUUAGACCUAGGUCUGAACGAAAUCAGAAAACCUCUCAAACUUGUUGACCACAAACUAAACUGACGGAAGUUGAGACUCGAACUCUUACAUAGAGUUUCCAUACUAAGCAGCCAAUUAUAUAUAUACAUAUAUAUGUGUGUAGUAUUUUCAUCUGAAACACAUGCUUCUCCAAUAAUAUGCGUACGCACCGACAGUGAGACAAACUCGCAAAAAUUCUGG